RNAcentral lists this long non-coding RNA (337 nucleotides) under Coturnix japonica (Japanese quail). Its description in RNAcentral is "lncRNA (ENSCJPG00005014410.1)". Lineage: Eukaryota; Metazoa; Chordata; Aves; Galliformes; Phasianidae. The record is from RNAcentral.
CUGUAUAUAGUUUCCACAAUGGCACACAAAAAUGAUGGCAUUCUGUAUCUACUGACACAGAAGAUAAUUUCCCAGUAUUUUCUUUAAUGAACGACCUAUUAUGAACCAGCAAGAAAAACCCAUACUGCAUAAUUCUUCCACAGAUAAACUGGAGGGAUAUCCAGAUUUCAGGGCCGGAUCCUGGAAGAACACUCAGGCAGCAAUGACCUCUGACAUUUGGAAGGCCAAAAGACAGUUCAAUAAGUGGCUUAGACAGAGUGAAGCAAGAAGGAAUGUUCCACCCCACACUGGCAUGGUGCUCUGCUUCAUUCCGUUACACAUCUCUGCUUCUCCAUGA